RNAcentral lists this long non-coding RNA (5504 nucleotides) under Gossypium barbadense (sea-island cotton). RNAcentral describes it as "long non-coding RNA (GBAR_LNC023216)". Lineage: Eukaryota; Viridiplantae; Streptophyta; Magnoliopsida; Malvales; Malvaceae. The record is from RNAcentral.
CUGAUGACUGCCUUGCGAGCUUGAUGUAUUCGAAUUACCAAGGUGCUCCGGUAACGAUUAAAAAAGAUUCAUUACCCACUCCAUUUGCGCAGAAUAUGCUAGUCGACGGUCUGUACGGAGGCCUGGUGUAUGAUGUUGUUAGGGUUAAGUGGAUUAUUCUUUGGACCACUGAUUGUAAGGUAUUAAUUAAUCAAUAUAUUUUUCAUUUAUUUUGAUUUUGUAGCAGAAGAAAUUAAUUAAUUAAACUAUAUAUCAGGUGGCUACUAAGAUCAUUCCGACCGAAAACCAUAUUGUUUGGGAGGAUAUAGUGAGCAUCCUUCAGCCCUACGAUAGCUCUGACAACUUGCCCUUAUCAUGUGGGGGUGCAUUUUCCGCCGAAGCUCAUAUCCAUGCAAAUGGAGAUGGAUCUCUAAACCUGACAGCACAAAUCAUGUGGAGCGGUUGCAAGUAACCUGACUCUCUUUGCAUCAUAUAUUGCUCCAUGCUUAUCUCUAUCAGUUUGUGCUGUGUGACCCACGGAGGCUGUCUACUUCUUUAUAUUAAUAAUACUAUUAAAUAAAUUUGACAGCCACCCCAUAAUAUACUACUGGAUUCCUACUUCUUCUACCUUACCUAUUCAACAUUGUGUGCCUUGUUUCUCCUUUUUCUUUUCUUUUCUGUAAUAGUAUAUACACACACGAUUGUGUGAAUUAAUAAAAAAAUGUCUAUGUCUGUGUCUAUAUCUAUAUCUUUAUAAAAGUGUUGGGUGCAAUAUUAAGACAUAUUGUAUUUUUUGUAGAUUAUAUAAAAUUGGUUAAAUUUCAAGUUUAUCUCUAUAUUUCACUCAAAUUUGAAAUUGAAUCUCUUUACUUUAAUUCUAACAUAAGUUGGCACCUGAAUUCUUAUAAUGUCUUUCGUUAGUCUAAAUAUGUUAUUCUAAUUGAAACGCUCAUGCGAAUUUAAAAGGAUUAUUAACACCAUCAAAAUUCUCUAUUAAAUUAAUUCUAGUCAAUUACAAUGUAAUUUUUUCUGCUCCUUGGGUACCAAGUAUAAGUAUAUUUUUUAAUUUGAAAAUGACAUGCCAACAAGUUUAACAAAAGAAUUAUGACAACGCUAACAAAUGGACCUAAAUUCAAGAUGUGGAGUUCUCUAUUGAUGUGACUUUGAGGAUCGCUCCUAUAACAGGUGUGCUGUAUAGAAUCACUCCAGGAGACAUGAAGGACUUGAAAGUUCAGCUACAAGAACUGUUAGAUAACGGGUUCAUCAGAUCAAGUGUUUCGCCUUGGGGUGCACCAAUAUUGUUUGUUAAGAAGAAGGAUGAGACCCUCCGAUUAUGUAUUGAUUAUAAGCAGCAGAAAAAAGUGACCAUAUUAAGUUGCCCAGGAUUGAGAACUUUUUUGAUCAGCUAACUGGAGCUAGAGUUUUCUCAAAGAUUGAUAUAUGAGCUAGGUAUUAUCAAGUUGAAACUUCCAAAUAUAAAACAACGUAAGAUGUUAAUAAUAUCCUCUUAACAAUAAUAAGAUGGAAGACUAGUAAUAAUAUCUUAACAAUUUAAACUAUUUCAUUUGGAAAUCUAACUAAGGAUCAUUCCCUUGCAUGUGUCAACUUGGUCGUAAAUUAGCGAUUCCUAUCUAGAUGGUCAAUGAUCAAAAUAUAUAAGAAUGUAAAAGAUAAAUAUAAAAAUUAAUCGUUGUUGGUUUUUUUAAAAAAAAUAAAUUUUAAUAAAGUACAAUUAUUUAUAUUUCGAAUCACCUAUCCAUGCACAAUUAAAACUCACAAGUCUAAUAUUUAUUUUUUUUUAAAAAGGUAAGAUGACAAUAAUAUCCUCCUAACUAUGAGGCUUUUGUUGUUAUUCAGGUCUAAAUUUUAAAUAAGAUGACUACUUAGAAAUAAAAUUUUAUUGCGGUCCAGGGACACGUUGAGGAGGAACAAUUAUGGAAAUUACAAAGAUGUAUGGUGGAUGAAACAGCUACCUGAUGCGAUAUUAAGAACUUACAAGGAAGAAUCGUAAAGGUAGGAUUAGGGGAGAUUAGAAUCAGAAGAACCCAAGGUAGAUUCUUCUUGGUCUGCAUACCAGAAGAGGAGCUGUUUGGGAUUUGGUUAUUUGCGAGAGUUCUUUGUUUCAAUCGAACCUUGAUCGGAACUUACAAUGGUGGAAGAGAGGGUAGCAUGGAUAGAUGUGGCUGGAGUUCCGUUACACUGCUGGAAUUACUAAAAAGAAUUAUUAAAAUAAAAAGAAUCCUAAAAGCUAAAAAGCCAUGAAUGCCAAAUUACUAAUGAUCCCAUGCCAAAAUCUUUCAUGUGAUUCCACAUUUUGUAUUUACACUCCACCUACAUUGAAAUUAGGCAAUAAACACAGAAUUUAGUAGCAUCAUGUCCCCAAAUAUAUCAAAAUAAAGCACAUAAAUAUGUCAAUUUGGCACAACAUCAUGUUAGGUGUGUCAAUAAAAUUUACUGUUUGAAAUCUCGCAUAGUUAAAACUUAAACAUAAAAUGUCAUUAAUAUUCUCUUAACAAUUAGGUUCUUGUCCAUUUUCAUUUUUAUUAAUUAAAACUAAAAAAUAUUUUUUUAAAAUAAAUUGAAUACUUGAUACAUCUACUAGUAUAAAAAUUGCAAGUCAAAUAUUCAAACAAGAACAAGAACAAUUAUUUGGAACAAGUGGAACCUGAUGUAUUUUGACAACUAAUUUUUUUUUAAAAGAAAAUUGGUUUUUGGGUAUUUGUGAUGUCAGUUUCACGAUUCAUAUUUUAAAAAGAAAUAUUUGUUGUGCCGUGGGAGUUCAGUUAAACGUUAUUAUUUAGUAGUAAUUAAAAAUCUAGUUCGUUCGGUUUUGAUAAUUUUUGGACUAUUUUUAAACUUUGAAUUUUAACUUGUUUUAUUUCCUGUCUUUAAUUAUUUUGAUGUAUUUCUUAUGAUAUUCAUUGUAUAUGCAAAACCAAGGCUUCCAAUAACAAAUCGCAUUUUACAAAAUCAAACUACAUUAAAAUUCCGCCGCAAACUUAAAUGUUUUAAAAGUAUAACUAAUCAACGGUUUCAUCAAAUUGGUUAAGAUGAGUUCUUUAAAUAACUGUAUUUUUACUUAGCGAAAGCUAGCGUCAUGUUUAUAAGUUUUCAACGAUUAUUGGAUUUUCAAAUGAGUCGUAGUCACUCUUAUAGAUCUAAUCAUAACGUCUAGGUCAGGUUUGAAAUGUUACGCACCAAUAGAUAAUUGUGGACAAUGCCACCAUAAUUGCAGUCAAACUAUCAAGUUAGAAAUAUGUGGUCAAACCAUUAUAAUUGUUGUCAAGCUGCCAUAACAGAAAUGUAGUUAACCCACCAGAUAGUGCAGAUCAUUAAACUAAUAGAUAUUUCUCUUUACCAUAUUAUUCCAACCCCAUGAAUUGUGACAUGGCAUGCAAAUAUAGAAUCUGAAUAAAAAGCAUGUAAGACAUGCAGUUGUACAACAACAAAAAUCAGAAGGCAUGAAAUUCCACACUUUGUAGAACAGAUGUGUCACUAACUCAACAAAAACAAAUUAGUUUCGCCAUAAAGUCAAUGCAUGGUCAUAUAACAUAUUCAUAGAUACAUUAAUUUACAUAAUCACACAACAUAUACUCGUAUACAAACAUCAUGUUAAGUGUGUCAGUAAAAUCUAGAGUUUGAAAUCUCGCAUAGUUAAAACUUAAACGAAAGAUGUCAUUAAUAUACUCUUAACAAUAAGGUUUUUGUCAUUUUCAUUUUUAUUAAUUAAAACUAAAAAAUAUUUACUUUAAAUAAAUUGAAUACUUGAUACACCUACUCAUAUAAAAGUUGCAAGUCAAAUACGCAAACAAGAACUAGAACAAUUAUUUGGAACAAGUGGAGCCUAAUGUAUUUUGACAACUAAAUUUUUUUAAAAGAAAUAUGAUUUUUUGUUAUUUGUGAUGUCCAUUUUAUGGUUCAUGUUGAAGGUCUUAAAAAUGUCACCUUCAAGAUUUGAACUUAAAUGUUCUCUCGAAAUUGUAAUGUUCCUUCUUUACCACUACAUCCAACACUUAUCAUUAGUUUUUAAAAAUAUGUUAAUUAAAUAUAAACUUAUUUGAUUAAUCCUUGUUGGUAAUUUUUAAAAAAUGGAUUUUAAUAAAGUACAAUUAUGUAUAUUUUCAAUCACCUAUUCAUAUCCUUGCACAAUUAAAACUCACAAGCCUAAUAUUUAUUUAUAAAAAGGUGAAAUGACAAUAUUAUCCUCCUAACUACAAGUCUAAUAUUUAUUUUAUAAAAAAAAAAGGUGGGAUGACAAUAAGGUUUUUGUUCUUAUUCAGGUCUAAAUUUUAAAUAAAAUGACUACCUGAUAUAAAUAAUCAAAUAAAAAUUGUUGGCCAAAUAUACAUGAGGACGAUAAUAUCCCUCUAACUAUGGAGCUUUUGUCUUCAAUUUAAUUAAAUUAUCUCCCAAUAUAUUUUCAAAGUACCAUUGGACACUGCUAAUUAAAUUCUUGUUGGCAGUGAGGGCCUAAAAGGCAAUUUGUCCAGUUUAGCCAAGGUCAAUACCAAGAUAGAUGACAAUAAUAUCCUUUUAACUAUAAGGGUUUUGUCGUCUUAACAGGGAGGCUUUUCGAGUUUUAUUUUAUUAAAACUAAAUAAUAUGACUUUGAAUUUGAAGUUAUGUUAUUAAAUAUUUGAAUAAAAUGACUUUGUUAUCAUAUUUAAAUUUAAAAGUCUUACUUGUAAUGCUAGAAGGUUGUGUAUAAAUAUGUGUAUGGAGGUAGAUAUGAAGCAGAAUAGAAGGAGAGUGAACUAAAAAAGGAGUUAAAAAUGGCUUGUCCUCCAACUCAUAAAGUGGUAAAAGGUGAGCUUAAGAAUGGUUCUGAUGACUGCCUUGCGAGCUUGAUGUAUUCGAAUUACCAAGGUGCUCCGGUAACGAUUAAAAAAGAUUCAUUACCCACUCCAUUUGCGCAGAAUAUGAUGGUCGACGGUCUGUACGGAGGCCUGGUGUAUGAUGUUGUUAGGGUUAAGUGGAUUAUUCUUUGGACCACUGAUUGUAAGGUAUUAAUUAAUCAAUAUAUUUUUCAUUUAUUUUGAUUUUGUAGCAGAAGAAAUUAAUUAAUUAAACUAUAUAUCAGGUGGCUACUAAGAUCAUUCCGACCGAAAACCAUAUUGUUUGGGAGGAUAUAGUGAGCAUCCUUCAGCCCUACAAUAGCUCUGACAUCUUGCCCUUAUCAUGUGGGGGUGCAUUUUCCUCCGAAGCUCAUAUCCAUGCAAAUGCAGAUGGAUCUCUAAACCUGACAGCACAAAUCAUGUGGAGCGGUUGCAAUUAACCUGCCUCUCUUUGCAUCAUAUAUUGCUCCAUGCUUAUCUCUAUCGGUUUAUGCUGUGUGACCCAUGGAGGCUGUCUACUUCUUUAUAUUAAUAAUACUACUAAAUAAAUUUGACAGCCACCCCAUAAUAUACUACCGGAUUCCUACUUGUUCUACCUUUCCUAUUAAACAUUGUGUGCCUUGUUUCUCCUCUUUCUCUUCUUUUUUUUUUUUAUCUUUUCUGUAAUAAUAUAUAUACCCACGAUUGUGU